Girardinichthys multiradiatus is the source of this 1329-nucleotide long non-coding RNA. RefSeq lists it as uncharacterized. The record is from RefSeq and is a predicted model, not a curated record. NCBI's taxonomy places the organism in Eukaryota, Metazoa, Chordata, Actinopteri, Cyprinodontiformes, Goodeidae. The transcript has 3 exons.
UAUUUAUGACCAGGGCAACUUGCUUUAAUUGAUGGAACCAUAAAUUCAGCUGUCUGCCAAAAAAUCCUGAAAGAGGACAUCUGGUCAUUAAUUCUUGGCCUUAAACACAAGCAUACUUUUGUUUUGCAGCUUGACAAAUAUCUGAAGAACCCCAGCAAGUCCACCUCUAAAGGGCUCAAGAAAAGAAAAAUCCACAACUUGGGAAAUAAAAGGAAAGUACAGCAGUACAGAUAUUUACAUUUAGCACUUUUCAAAUCUUGUUGCAUAACAGUGCUAAGAGGCAGCGUGUUUUUUUUCCUGUGACAGCUCAUUAUGGAAUUAGAUAAAGUGACUUGAAAUCCAUUUGCAAUUAAAAAUCCACAAACUGACCCCGAUGUUCACUGAAGAGCACCUGCCAUCCAAAACAAGAGGGUUGCAAUAGUCAAAGCGUCAUGAGAGAGUAGACUGGGAACGGAUGUUCCUGCUUGGCCAAUCUGAAAAGUCUUUGUGAGUCUAAUUUCCCUCUGAGUGAAUCUAUUACUAGUUUCUGUGUUUUUCUUUUAGUGGGUGUUGGUCAUCUUCUACUUCAUCUUCGAACAUCAGUCAAAGACGUAUUGCCUGAGGCUGAUACUGGAUAAAGCUCAAGAGGAAGCAUUUCUGUUAAAAAUAUGGUCACACACUGGACACCUUUACAGAGGAGUUCAUGGUCAACUCAAAGACUACAAAGUACCCAGUGUUCUGUGGUAUCCAAAUAAACCCUAAUCACUUCCUCAGUCUUACUCGACAGCUGGUAUGAGGUAUUUGUCUUGAUAUGCUUUUUUAGUUUUUGCCAAAUAUGGCCCUGUUCAUUUGGCUUCAUCUGUCUGAAAGACCAGAAGUUGCAGAGGUCUUAUGGUUGAGUCCAAUGCUACACCACAAACCUAGGCGGCUCACCCACAGUCUUCUUCUGGCUUUGCUGUCGUUAAAUGUAUUUAACAUGCCAAGCGAGGCCUACAGAGUAUGAAAUAUAGCUCUUGGCAUUUUGAACUUGUAUAGGUGGAUUUGCUGGGACAUUAACUCCUGCGAAGAUUGGCAGCUGUCUUAAAUGUUUGCCUGUGAAGAAUUUAUCUGUAUAUGUAGAAUGAUGGAUUUCAAAUACACUGAAAAUGCUACCCAAGUUUGAUAAGCAGUAAAAAUUGCUACCUUGAAGUCAUUGCUGAUGUCUCUCCUUUUUGACAUUGUGUUAGCAAACUGAAAAUGAAUCUGCUUUAAUACAGCUUCUAACACCACUUAUUGUUCAUCAAAUGAAGCACAUUUGAUUGGGAACACCCUGGCUGCUACUUUCCCUUUUUAAAUCUAAUAAAAUCAUUU